AACUGAUAUUGCAGGUCACAUGAUAUAUGCACUGCUGAUAUUGUAGGUCACAUGAUAUAUGCACUGCUGAUAUUGCAGGUCACAUGAUAUAUGCACAACUGAUAUUGCAGGUCACAUGAUAUAUGCACUGCUGAUAUUGCAGGUCACAUGAUAUAUGCACUGCUGAUAUUGAAGGUCACAUGAUAUAUGCACUACUGAUAUUGCAGGUCACAUGAUAUAUGCACUACUGAUAUUGCAGGUCACAUGAUAUAUGCACUACUGAUAUUGUAGGUCACAUGAUAUAUGCACUGCUGAUAUUGCAGGUCACAUGAUAUAUGCAGUACUGAUAUUGUAGGUCACAUGAUAUAUGCUCUACUGAUAUUGUAGGUCACAUGAUAUACGCAGUACUGAUAUUGCAGGUCACAUGAUAUAUGCACUGCUGAUAUUGUAGGUCUCAUGAUAUAUGCAGUACUGAUAUUGCAGGUCACAUGAUAUAUGCACUGCUGAUAUUGUAGGUCACAUGAUUGACACACUGCUGAUAUUGCAAGUCAGAUGAUUUACACAGUGCUGAUAUUGCAGGUCACGUGAUUUAUGCA
Dreissena polymorpha is the source of this 575-nucleotide long non-coding RNA. RefSeq lists it as uncharacterized. The record is from RefSeq and is a predicted model, not a curated record. The transcript has 5 exons. Lineage: Eukaryota; Metazoa; Mollusca; Bivalvia; Myida; Dreissenidae.